RNAcentral lists this ribosomal RNA (678 nucleotides) under uncultured ciliate. RNAcentral describes it as "SSU rRNA". It matches the Rfam family "Eukaryotic small subunit ribosomal RNA", at positions 319 to 1019 of the family's 1831-position model. The record is from RNAcentral. Lineage: Eukaryota; Ciliophora.
CUGGAUGGUAGUGUAUUGGACUACCAUGGCAGUCACGGGUAACGGAGAAUUAGGGUUCGAUUCCGGAGAGGGAGCCUGAGAAACGGCUACCACAUCUACGGAAGGCAGCAGGCGCGUAAAUUACCCAAUCCUGAUUCAGGGAGGUAGUGACAAGAAAUAACAACUCGGGCAUUUUUAAUGCUUCGAAUUUGCAAUGGGAACAAUCUAAAUCACUUAUCGAGGAACAAUUGGAGGGCAAGUCUGGUGCCAGCAGCCGCGGUAAUUCCAGCUCCAAUAGCGUAUAUUAAAGUUGUUGCAGUUAAAAAGCUCGUAGUUGAAUUUCUGAUUAUGAAUGUACUGGGUAACCGGUCCAUUUAUAGUCAUCCACAUGAGAACCUAUCUCGGCCUUCACUGGUCGGUUGGGGGAUCAUGUACUUUACUUCGAAAAAAUCAGAGUGUUUCAGGCAGGCGUUUGCAUGAAUACACAAGCAUGGAAUAAUGGAAUAGGACUAGGGUCCAUUUUAUUGGUUAUUGGACCAUAGUAAUGAUUAAUAGGGACAGUUGGGGGCAUUAGUAUUUAAUUGUCAGAGGUGAAAUUCUUGGAUUUAUUAAAGACUAACUUAUGCGAAAGCAUUUGCCAAGGAUGUUUUCAUUAAUCAAGAACGAAAGUUAGGGGAUCAAAGACGAUCAGAUACCGUC